Molecule: ribosomal RNA, 309 nt
Filed under: uncultured Chloroflexota bacterium
Lineage: Bacteria; Bacillati; Chloroflexota
Description: bacterial SSU rRNA
Rfam family: Bacterial small subunit ribosomal RNA
Source: RNAcentral
GAUGAACGCUGGCGGCGUGCUUAACACAUGCAAGUCGAACGCUCGCAAGAGAGUGGCGCACGGGUGAGGAACACGUAGCUAACCUGCCUUUAGGUCUGGGAUAACGACGCGAAAGCGGCGCUAAGACCGGAUAAGCUCCCGGGUUGUAGAGACCAGAGAGAAAAGGGGCAAGACGCCUAAAGAGGGGGCUGCGGCGCAUCAGCUCGUUGGUGAGGUAAUGGCUCACCAAGGCAACGACGCGUAAGGGGUCUGAGAGGAUGAUCCCUCACACUGGGACUGAGACACGGCCCAGACUCCUACGGGUGGCAG